AACGAACGCUGGCGGCGCGCCUAACACAUGCAAGUCGAACGAGAAGGCGUAGCAAUACGCUUGUAGAGUGGCGAACGGGUGAGUAAUACGUGGGUGACCUACCCUCGAGUGGGGAAUAACCCGCCGAAAGGCGGGCUAAUGCCGCGUACGCUUCCGUCCUCACGGGGACGGAAGGAAAGCUGUACCGUGGGUACGGCGCUCAAGGAUGGGCUCACGUCCUAUCAGCUUGUUGGUAGGGUAACGGCCUACCAAGGCUACGACGGGUAGCUGGUCUGAGAGGACGAUCAGCCACACUGGCACUGCGACACGGGCCAGACUCCUACGGGAGGCAGCAGUGAGGAAUAUUGCGCAAUGGGCGAAAGCCUGACGCAGCGACGCCGCGUGGGGA
This 388-nucleotide ribosomal RNA is filed under the name uncultured bacterium. RNAcentral describes it as "bacterial SSU rRNA". It matches the Rfam family "Bacterial small subunit ribosomal RNA", at positions 29 to 407 of the family's 1533-position model. The record is from RNAcentral.